GACGAACGCUGGCGGCGUGCUUAACACAUGCAAGUCGAACGGAAAGGCCCUGCUUUUGUGGGGUGCUCGAGUGGCGAACGGGUGAGUAACACGUGAGUAACCUGCCCUUGACUUUGGGAUAACUUCAGGAAACUGGGGCUAAUACCGGAUAGGAGCUCCUGCUGCAUGGUGGGGGUUGGAAAGUUUCGGCGGUUGGGGAUGGACGCGCGGCUUAUCAGCUUGUUGGUGGGGUAGUGGCUUACCAAGGCUUUGACGGGUAGCCGGCCUGAGAGGGUGACCGGCCACAUUGGGACUGAGAUACGGCCCAGACUCCUACGGUAGGCAGCAGUGGGGAAUAUUGCACAAUGGGCGGAAGCCUGAUGCAGCAACGCCGCGUGCGUGAUGACGGCCUUCGGGUUGUAAACCGCUUUCGCCUGUGACGAAGCGUGAGUGACGGUAAUGGGUAAAGAAGCACCGGCUAACUACGUG
RNAcentral lists this ribosomal RNA (468 nucleotides) under uncultured bacterium. Its description in RNAcentral is "partial 16S ribosomal RNA". It matches the Rfam family "Bacterial small subunit ribosomal RNA", at positions 28 to 507 of the family's 1533-position model. The record is from RNAcentral.